UACGGGGGGGGCAAGCGUUGUUCGGAAUUAUUGGGCGUAAAGAGCUCGUAGGUGGCUUGUCACGUCGGAUGUGAAAGCUUGGGGCUUAACUCCAGGUCUGCAUUCGAUACGGGCUGGCUAGAGGUAGGGAGGGGAGAACGGAAUUCCUGGUGUAGCGGUGAAAUGCGCAGAUAUCAGGAGGAACACCGGUGGCGAAGGCGGGACUCUGGGCCGAUACUGACGCUGAGGAGCGAAAGCGUGGGGAGCAAACAGG
Molecule: ribosomal RNA, 253 nt
Filed under: uncultured bacterium
Lineage: Bacteria
Description: partial 16S ribosomal RNA
Rfam family: Bacterial small subunit ribosomal RNA
Source: RNAcentral